This 323-nucleotide ribosomal RNA is filed under the name uncultured eukaryote. RNAcentral describes it as "partial 18S ribosomal RNA". It matches the Rfam family "Eukaryotic small subunit ribosomal RNA", at positions 1470 to 1796 of the family's 1831-position model. The record is from RNAcentral.
CCCUUAGAUGUUCUGGGCCGCACGCGUGCUACACUGAGUGGAUCAGCGGGUCAGGUUGCGCGAAAGCGUUUCCUAAUCUUUAAAUCCGCUCGUGAUGGGGAUUGACGGUUGCAAUUUUCUGUCAUGAACGAGGAAUACCUUGUAAGCGCGGGUCAUCAUCCCGCGCUGAAUACGUCCCUGCCCUUUGCACACACCGCCCGUCGCACCUACCGAUUGAAUGGUCCGGUGAAAUCUUCGGAUUGAGACUUUGUUUUCUUCACGGAAAACGCUGUUUUAAAAAGUUGAUUAAACCUUACCAUUUAGAGGAAGGUGAAGUCGUAACA